This is an RNA transcript of Oryza brachyantha (malo sina), 2055 nucleotides long. It is a transcript of the gene named ATP-dependent DNA helicase Q-like 1, with no coding region annotated. The record is from RefSeq and is a predicted model, not a curated record. The transcript has 12 exons. Lineage: Eukaryota; Viridiplantae; Streptophyta; Magnoliopsida; Poales; Poaceae.
UCCACUCCGCGGCGGGGGCGAGCUCACCGGAGAUGGCGGCGUACGAGAAGGAGAAGAGGCGGCUGCUGGACCUGGCCGUCGAGUCCGGCUUCGAGCGCGGCCUCGCCGCCGACUGCCUCGACAGGCUCGUCCGCCUCUACGGAGAGGGUGGACAAGGAUUUAUUACUGUAGAGAACUGCGGAGUUGAUUUUCUUGGCGCACUAGCUGAUGCAACAAAAGACAAUGAUGAUUGGGAAGACCUAAAUGCCAUAGAGAAUGAAGCUUGCGGCAAUUUGAAUGACAUGCUGAGGAAUGAUGAUUCGGACUCUGAGGCAUUGGAUGAAAUGGAAACCCGCUCGGUCAGUACUCAGAAGAAGGCACGGUCCAGAAACUCUGAACUGCAGAGUACAAGCUCCGCUAAGUCUGUUGUAACCAGAGGAAGAUGUGAAUCAUCUACCCCAACUUCAAAUAGAGAGAAGCAUCCCAAUGCAGUUCAUCAAAAAACAGAAACUCUAAGUUAUGAACAGCUUUCUUGCCUAGAUAACAUCAAUUUUGCAAAUGUUGUUAUCUUUGGCAACAAAAGCUUUAGGCCGCUGCAGUAUGAAGCGUGUAGGGCUGCACUGGAUAAUAUAGAUACCUUUGUGCUUAUGCCAACAGGUGGUGGGAAGAGCUUGUGUUAUCAGCUCCCGGCAACAUUGCAUCCAGGCAUUACUGUUGUGGUUUGCCCACUUCUGUCACUUAUCGAGGAUCAGAUUGUGGCUUUAACCUUCAAGUUUGGUAUACCAUCAGCAUUCUUGAAUUCUCAGCAAACACCUUCACAGUCAUCUGCUGUUAUCCAACAGCUUAGAAGUGGUAAACCCUCAUUCAAACUCCUCUAUGUCACUCCUGAGAGAUUGGUCGGAAACAGCUCAUUUAUGGGGAUCCUUAUAGGUUUACACCAGAGGGGAUCAUUGGCAAGAUUUGUGAUUGAUGAAGCACAUUGUGUGAGUCAAUGGGGGCAUGACUUCCGUCCAGAUUACCGAGGGCUGGGAUGCCUCAAACAAAACUUCCCUCGAGUCCCAAUUAUGGCUUUAACAGCUACAGCGACUGAAUCUGUUCGCAAGGACAUCCUAAGUACCUUGAGGAUCCCUAAUGCAAUGGUACUCAAGAAGAGCUUUGACAGAACAAACCUCAAUUAUGAGGUGAUUGGCAAGACAAAAACUCCGCAUAACCAGCUUGGUGAUCUCCUGAAAGACCGUUUCAUGAACAUGUCAGGUAUUGUGUACUGUCUGUCCAAAAAUGAAUGUGCUGACACAGCAAAGUUCUUAAGGGAGAAGUACAAGAUAAAAUGUUCGCAUUACCAUGCUGGCUUGUCGGCUCGUCAGCGAACUAGCGUACAGGGAAAAUGGCACAAUGGGGAGGUCAAAGUCAUCUGUGCCACCAUAGCAUUUGGCAUGGGAAUAGACAAACCUGAUGUGAGGUUUGUUAUCCACAAUACAAUGUCAAAAUCAAUAGAAAGCUACUAUCAGGAAUCAGGGAGAGCAGGAAGAGACAAUCUUCCAGCACAUUGCAUUGUGUUAUAUCAGAAAAAGGACAUUGGUCACAUUAUUUGCAUGCUCAGAAAUUCAGGUAACUUCAAGAGCGAGAGCUUCAAGUUUGCAAUGGAUCAAGCAAAGAAAAUGCAAGCAUAUUGCGAGCUGAAGACUGAGUGCCGGAGGCAAACUCUUCUUGGGCACUUCGGUGAACAGUACAACAGGCAAAGAUGCAAAGAUGGGUGUAGCCCCUGCGACAACUGCAUGAAGAUCCCUUCUUGAGAGCCUUUUCCUUCUACCUAAUGCUGUUAAUACUGAUGUAUAGCCUUGGAAAAGGACGCAAUGUUGUGCUUGUCGUAAUGCGGUUGAUAUUUUGGACUUGCAGACCAUUACUCCUGAGAACAAAAUCCUUUUUGUUUUCAUGAAAGGCCUUUAUUUCAGUGAAUUCUCUAUUGAGGUUUAUGCAUUAUUCUGUUCGCUUUAAAGAGAUCAAGGAGAUAUCAGGAGUUCAUCAAAUCCGUAGUCUGAAGGUGGAAGGAUUUGUCUUCCAACCUGAGUAGGGCCA